AGCCUCAUGUAUCCGUGCUAAGAUUACGUCAGCGACCAACCCUGUUGGAGCGGAUGCAACUUCCCAAAUAAGUGAAGCG
RNAcentral lists this microRNA precursor (79 nucleotides) under Trichobilharzia regenti. Its description in RNAcentral is "mir-3492 microRNA precursor family". It matches the Rfam family "mir-3492 microRNA precursor family". Lineage: Eukaryota; Metazoa; Platyhelminthes; Trematoda; Strigeidida; Schistosomatidae. The record is from Rfam by way of RNAcentral.